UGGGUAACCUGCCUCAAAGAGGGGAAUAGCCUCCCGAAAGGGAGAUUAAUACCGCAUAAUAUGUUUAGGUCGCAUGACUUUAACAUCAAAGGAUUUUCUUUUAGAAAUUCCACUUUGAGAUGGACCCGCGGCGCAUUAGCUAGUUGGUGAGGUAACGGCUCACCAAGGCAACGAUGCGUAGCCGACCUGAGAGGGUGAUCGACCACAUUGGAACUGAGACACGGUCCAGACUCCGUAGGGAGG
This 243-nucleotide ribosomal RNA is filed under the name uncultured bacterium. Its description in RNAcentral is "partial 16S ribosomal RNA". It matches the Rfam family "Bacterial small subunit ribosomal RNA", at positions 118 to 348 of the family's 1533-position model. The record is from RNAcentral.